AUUGAACGCUGGCGGCAUGCUUUACACAUGCAAGUCGAACGGUAACAGGCCGCAAGGUGCUGACGAGUGGCGAACGGGUGAGUAAUGCGUCGGAACGUGCCCAGCCGUGGGGGAUAACUACUCGAAAGAGUAGCUAAUACCGCAUACGAUCUAUGGAUGAAAGCGGGGGACCGUAAGGCCUCGCGCGAUUGGAGCGGCCGAUGUCAGAUUAGGUAGUUGGUGGGGUAAAGGCUCACCAAGCCAACGAUCUGUAGCUGGUCUGAGAGGACGACCAGCCACACUGGGACUGAGACACGGCCCAGACUCCUACGGGAGGCAGCAGUGGGGAAUUUUGGACAAUGGGCGCAAGCCUGAUCCAGCAAUGCCGCGUGCAGGAAGAAGGCCUUCGGGUUGUAAACUGCUUUUGUACGGAACGAAACGGCUCUGGUUAAUACCCGGGGCUAAUGACGGUACCGUAAGAAUAAGCACCGGCUAACUACGUG
RNAcentral lists this ribosomal RNA (482 nucleotides) under uncultured bacterium. RNAcentral's name for it is "partial 16S ribosomal RNA". It matches the Rfam family "Bacterial small subunit ribosomal RNA", at positions 30 to 507 of the family's 1533-position model. The record is from RNAcentral.